AGUCCAUGGUGCAGACAUUUUUGCAUCAUCUCCUUGAAUUGCUCCCAUUCUUCAAAGAACGAUUCUCCAUCAGUUUUCCUAAAGUAGGUGAUUUGGUUCCUUAUUGU
Molecule: small nucleolar RNA, 107 nt
Organism: Lathyrus oleraceus (garden pea)
Lineage: Eukaryota; Viridiplantae; Streptophyta; Magnoliopsida; Fabales; Fabaceae
Source: RefSeq, a predicted model, not a curated record